UCGUGGAUCAGAGAGUGAGUACGAAGAUGAAGAAUUACCUCCAAAGGAAGAAUUGGAGUAUCUUGAAUUAAUCCAAAAGACAAAGGAGUCCAUCAGUUUACUUCCAUCAUUAAACUCAUAAGAUCUAGCUAGCCUACAAUGUAAUGUCGAGUUUAAGCAAAGCUUUGAAGAGACAGAAACUUCAGGUCAAAGUUCUGAAUAUGAGAACGAUAUUCUUCGACCAAGAGGUGGAGAGUUUUAUUCUUCGGAAGACUCCAGCAGAACGACGACCAGUUAUGUGAAUAUGAAACGAUGAUGAAAUUCAUGGAAUAAAUUUGGAAAAAGAAAACGAGUUCUUUGCAAUCCAGUAUGUCCAUUACAAAGAAAAGACUAAAGGCAGAGAAUUCAGAUAGAAACUUGGAUGCAUCUGAGAAGGCUAGCUAGGACCCAUGGGAGAAAUAGAAGUCUAGGUGUCGGAUUAAGUGUGAUAAGCCGGUUAGUAGAAAGAGCUCAAGUGUUUGGAGAUGACACAAAGUUGAUGAAAUUGAAAUCUGGUAGAGUGGUAGCAAACUUGAAUCUGAAAAGGGAUCUUAGGAGGCUGAAAAGAUGUUUAAGACAUGGAAAAAGGAUUAUGAAGGAA
This is a long non-coding RNA of Brassica oleracea var. oleracea, 619 nucleotides long. RefSeq lists it as uncharacterized. The transcript has 3 exons. NCBI's taxonomy places the organism in Eukaryota, Viridiplantae, Streptophyta, Magnoliopsida, Brassicales, Brassicaceae. The record is from RefSeq and is a predicted model, not a curated record.